GAUCAUUAUACCCACGGAUUAUGCAGAUGCGGGUAAACUUUACCUAUAAAUUUUUGAGUAUUCAUCAUUCUUAUCCAUACCUGUUAGCGGUUGGGUGGACAGGUACACGGGUUACUCACAAGGUAAUCUUUUUUAUUUAUCCUUAUAUUUGUAUAUUUUCCUAACACAAAUAAUAUAUAUAAAUAUAUAGAAUUGGGCUGGAAUAUUAUUGAUAGCAAAAACUCUUUUUAUUAUCAAUGUUUUUAACCCUUUGAUGAGAAAUUCUUGAGUUAGGAUGAUAUUAGCCUCUUAGGGUUGAGUGGUCUCCACUGGGUUAUAAUAUUUAAUCAAAUGAUUAGAAAUGAUGAAAUGAGUUGAUUCAAAGGAUAAAAAAACUUGAGAGCAAAAAUGACCAUUUGCUAUCAAUAGUAUUCUAGCUCAACUCUCUCUCUCUCUCUCUCUCUCUAUGUAUAUACAGUCAGGCUAUGGUGGUUGUAAAAGCACCAAGCACUUGGUGCAUUUAACUUUUCCACCGUUAGAUUACCCUUUUGAUUAUUUUCACUCGUUAGAUUAUACUAUUCAACCAACCACUCACUUAACCCGAGGGGACCACUAUUAUCCUAACCGCACAUCUCUUAAUCCAAGGGCUACAAACCUACAAGUACCAAUGACUUUAUAGUUUUAAAAGCAUAGGAGCUCAAUGAUAUAU
Molecule: long non-coding RNA, 688 nt
Filed under: Ananas comosus (pineapple)
Lineage: Eukaryota; Viridiplantae; Streptophyta; Magnoliopsida; Poales; Bromeliaceae
Description: long non-coding RNA (ACOM_LNC002136)
Source: RNAcentral